This is a non-coding RNA of Lolium perenne, 672 nucleotides long. Lineage: Eukaryota; Viridiplantae; Streptophyta; Magnoliopsida; Poales; Poaceae. The record is from RefSeq and is a predicted model, not a curated record.
GUGGCAUGCAUGUUAUUGGUGUUUUCUAAUGAAAUUUCUUUCCUUUUACCACUUCUGAUGCGUAGUGAUAAUAAAAAAUAGUACACUGUUGUUGACAUUCAGUUUGUUGUACUUUAUAUAUGACAGUUAUUGGUGAGAACUCGCAGUAUGCUCGACAAUGUGCAAAGAAACGAGCCACCGCGAUAGUUUACAAGCACUGCCGCUGCAAGUUCACAAGCACUACCGCUGGGAGUUCACAAGCACUACCGCUGGGAGUCCAUCAUUGCCGGUCUUCUGCUCUGAACCUCCCCGAGUGCCAUUCUGAACCUGAUCCGGUUAUUCACAUUAUUAUUAGGGUCCAGUUCACUUUCUAUAUUUUGACAGUUCUUUAGUCUGUUUAACAAUUACAGUUUAAAGCACACAUGCGGUUGAAACCUCCGGGCGCGAAGCAUCAGUCCGCGAAGAUACAGCAGCGGUAAGAGGAGGACCUACCUCUCCGUCGUAUUGCUCUAUGUCAGCACAACACGCAGAAUCUAGCAUGGCCGCUGGCCUGAUAGAAUGUUUCAUGGCUUGACUGGAGCUCCUCGGUUUGGAUCCAAGAAAGGCAGCAAGCAGGGGACAUCAACUUCUGGACUUCAAUCCAGCGGCAGUUGCAGCUUGAACUGGACGCAGAGCACAAAAAGAGUUCACUGG